RNAcentral lists this non-coding RNA (29 nucleotides) under Rattus norvegicus (Norway rat). The record is from RNAcentral. Lineage: Eukaryota; Metazoa; Chordata; Mammalia; Rodentia; Muridae.
UGUCUGCAACCAUGGAAAGCCACUAGGAA